GUGGGGAAUAUUGGACAAUGGGCGAAAGCCUGAUCCAGCCAUGCCGCGUGUGUGAAGAAGGCCUUUUGGUUGUAAAGCACUUUAAGUGGGGAGGAAAAGUUGACGGUUAAUACCCGCCAGCCCUGACGUUACCCACAGAAUAAGCACCGGCUAACUCUGUGCCAGCAGCCGCGGUAAUACAGAGGGUGCAAGCGUUAAUCGGAAUUACUGGGCGUAAAGCGAGCGUAGGUGGUCAUUUAAGUCAGAUGUGAAAUCCCCGGGCUUAACCUGGGAACUGCAUCUGAUACUGGGUGACUAGAGUAGGUGAGAGGGAAGUAGAAUUCCAGGUGUAGCGGUGAAAUGCGUAGAGAUCUGGAGGAAUACCGAUGGCGAAGGCAGCUUCCUGGCAUCAUACUGACACUGAGGUUCGAAAGCGUGGGUAGCAAACAGGAUUAGAUACCCGAGUAGUCC
RNAcentral lists this ribosomal RNA (450 nucleotides) under uncultured bacterium. RNAcentral's name for it is "bacterial SSU rRNA". It matches the Rfam family "Bacterial small subunit ribosomal RNA", at positions 354 to 796 of the family's 1533-position model. The record is from RNAcentral.